This is a long non-coding RNA of Larimichthys crocea (large yellow croaker), 1255 nucleotides long. RefSeq lists it as uncharacterized. The transcript is spliced from 2 exons. NCBI's taxonomy places the organism in Eukaryota, Metazoa, Chordata, Actinopteri, Sciaenidae. The record is from RefSeq and is a predicted model, not a curated record.
AUUUAGUUACUCGCUUUUAUGGUCUUGUCUUGGCAUGUUUCUGGCUCUCUGUAUCUCACAUCGUCUCCCCAUUAAUAUCUACUUGAAUCCUUUUCGUCUUUUGCUUGGCCUCAGUGUCUGGCACGUUGUUGUUUAUUUGCCUGAGUUUAAAGAUGCCGUGUAAAUGAAGUUAUUCUUAUUCUUCUAAUUCCUCUUAUUUUGCAGCCCGCAUUGAGGAACACAUCAAUCCUGCGAUCGUCAUUGUCAUCAAAAUUGCCAUCGUUGCAGUUCUCCUUGGUGCUGCGUUUCUUCUGUUCAUGAAAUGGACCAGAGCCAAGUAAAUACAAGUGCCUACUACACUACAUAUGCAGAAUACUAAUUAUGAGAAUGAAACCAUCAGUAUAUGAAUGUAUGUGAAUGGGUGAAUGAGAUAUGUAGGGUAACAGCGCUUAGAAAGGCACUUAUGGGGCGGCGUAGACUAGCUUAGCCGCCUCGCGUGCAAAGGCUCAGUCCAGAGUUCGAAUCCGACCUGUGGCUCUUUCCCGCAUCUCUCUCUUUCUCCUCACAUUCCUGUCACUCUUCAGCUGUCUCUAUCAAAAUAAAAGCUUGAAAAGAAAGAAAGGGAAAAAAAAGAAAGGCACUUAUAUAAGUACAGUCUGUUUACCAUUUUAUGGAGUCUGGCUGCUGUUUGCUCCCUAAUAUUUACAUGAUUCCUGUUAAAAUGGUCAGAAAAGGACAAACAUGUUGUGGGUACUGAUUGGAGUUUGCAGUAGCUAAAAGAAUGUGCAUUAUAACCCCACUGCUAUAAACUAUAGAUAGGCCUGAAUGCUAAAUACACUCUGUGAUUGACAACAUGUUUGGGAUUGUUCCAGAUCUGGCAAUAUAUUUGCCAAUGACAGAUGAGCACUAGAGCAAAAUGAAUGAACUGAUGAGGUUUACCAUCAACUGCAACAGAGCUUUAACCAAUAGAUUUACUGUGGAAGGUGCUGAACAGCCAAAAAAGAACAAUCCAACUUGGGAAACACCAGAAACACUUUACUUAAGCAUUACUCUUGGUUCCCUAACCUAAAAAACUGAAAGGUUUUAAUGACCCAUGGACAUUGCAAUGAUGCUAGUAUCAAAUUAACUAAAAUUGUAAUCCCACAAUGUGCACUCAACUACAAGCAGAGCCGUUUCAGUGACCAAGGUCCAUGUUUUUGUUUUUUUGAUAAGAUAUGUAUAUUUUGAGAUGUAUUGUUUUGUUAAAUUAAAAUAAAUUGAUUAAUAAAUCAAACGA